This 497-nucleotide ribosomal RNA is filed under the name uncultured bacterium. Its description in RNAcentral is "partial 16S ribosomal RNA". It matches the Rfam family "Bacterial small subunit ribosomal RNA", at positions 28 to 507 of the family's 1533-position model. The record is from RNAcentral.
GACGAACGCUGGCGGCGUGCCUAAUACAUGCGAGUUGAGCGCUGAAGGUUGGUACUUGUACCGACUGGAUGAGCAGCGAACGGGUGAGUAACGCGUGGGGAAUCCGCCUUUGAGCGGGGGACAACAUUUGGAAACGAAUGCUAAUACCGCAUAAAAACUUUAAACGCAAGUUUUAAGUUUGAAAGAUGCAAUUGCAUCACUCAAAGAUGAUCCCGCGUUGUAUUAGCUAGUUGGUGAGGUAAAGGCUCACCAAGGCGAUGAUACAUAGCCGACCUGAGAGGGUGAUCGGCCACAUUGGGACUGAGACACGGCCCAAACUCCUACGGGAGGCAGCAGUAGGGAAUCUUCGGCAAUGGACGAAAGUCUGACCGAGCAACGCCGCGUGAGUGAAGAAGGUUUUCGGAUCGUAAAACUCUGUUGGUAGAGAAGAACGUUGGUGAGAGUGGAAAGCUCAUCAAGUGACGGUAACUACCCAGAAAGGGACGGCUAACUACGUG